AGAGUUUGAUCAUGGCUCAGAUUGAACGCUGGCGGCAGGCCUAACACAUGCAAGUCGAACGGUAACAGGAAGCAGCUUGCUGCUUUGCUGACGAGUGGCGGACGGGUGAGUAAUGUCUGGGAAACUGCCCGAUGGAGGGGGAUAACUACUGGAAACGGUAGCUAAUACCGCAUAACGUCGCAAGACCAAAGAGGGGGACCUUAGGGCCUCUUGCCAUCGGAUGUGCCCAGAUGGGAUUAGCUAGUAGGUGGGGUAACGGCUCACCUAGGCGACGAUCCCUAGCUGGUCUGAGAGGAUGACCAGCCACACUGGAACUGAGACACGGUCCAGACUCCUACGGGAGGCAGCAGUGGGGAAUAUUGCACAAUGGGCGCAAGCCUGAUGCAGCCAUGCCGCGUGUAUGAAGAAGGCCUUCGGGUUGUAAAGUACUUUCAGCGGGGAGGAAGGGAGUAAAGUUAAUACCUUUGCUCAUUGACGUUACCCGCAGAAGAAGCACCGGCUAACUCCGUGCCAGCAGCCGCGGUAAUACGGAGGGUGCAAGCGUUAAUCGGAAUUACUGGGCGUAAAGCGCACGCAGGCGGUUUGUUAAGUCAGAUGUGAAAUCCCCGGGCUCAACCUGGGAACUGCAUCUGAUACUGGCAAGCUUGAGUCUCGUAGAGGGGGGUAGAAUUCCAGGUGUAGCGGUGAAAUGCGUAGAGAUCUGGAGGAAUACCGGUGGCGAAGGCGGCCCCCUGGACGAAGACUGACGCUCAGGUGCGAAAGCGUGGGGAGCAAACAGGAUUAGAUACCCUGGUAGUCCACGCCGUAAACGAUGUCGACUUGGAGGUUGUGCCCUUGAGGCGUGGCUUCCGGAGCUAACGCGUUAAGUCGACCGCCUGGGGAGUACGGCCGCAAGGUUAAAACUCAAAUGAAUUGACGGGGGCCCGCACAAGCGGUGGAGCAUGUGGUUUAAUUCGAUGCAACGCGAAGAACCUUACCUGGUCUUGACAUCCACGGAAGUUUUCAGAGAUGAGAAUGUGCCUUCGGGAACCGUGAGACAGGUGCUGCAUGGCUGUCGUCAGCUCGUGUUGUGAAAUGUUGGGUUAAGUCCCGCAACGAGCGCAACCCUUAUCCUUUGUUGCCAGCGGUCCGGCCGGGAACUCAAAGGAGACUGCCAGUGAUAAACUGGAGGAAGGUGGGGAUGACGUCAAGUCAUCAUGGCCCUUACGACCAGGGCUACACACGUGCUACAAUGGCGCAUACAAAGAGAAGCGACCUCGCGAGAGCAAGCGGACCUCAUAAAGUGCGUCGUAGUCCGGAUUGGAGUCUGCAACUCGACUCCAUGAAGUCGGAAUCGCUAGUAAUCGUGGAUCAGAAUGCCACGGUGAAUACGUUCCCGGGCCUUGUACACACCGCCCGUCACACCAUGGGAGUGGGUUGCAAAAGAAGUAGGUAGCUUAACCUUCGGGAGGGCGCUUACCACUUUGUGAUUCAUGACUGGGGUGAAGUCGUAACAAGGUAACCGUAGGGGAACCUGCGGUUG
This 1522-nucleotide ribosomal RNA is filed under the name Escherichia coli. Its description in RNAcentral is "bacterial SSU rRNA". It matches the Rfam family "Bacterial small subunit ribosomal RNA". RNAcentral also lists the same sequence under 4 other names. Lineage: Bacteria; Pseudomonadati; Pseudomonadota; Gammaproteobacteria; Enterobacterales; Enterobacteriaceae. The record is from RNAcentral.